Molecule: transfer RNA, 76 nt
Filed under: Citrobacter freundii
Lineage: Bacteria; Pseudomonadati; Pseudomonadota; Gammaproteobacteria; Enterobacterales; Enterobacteriaceae
Also listed under: 25 other names
Description: tRNA-Val
Rfam family: tRNA
About the family: Transfer RNA (tRNA) molecules are approximately 80 nucleotides in length.
Source: RNAcentral
GGGUGAUUAGCUCAGCUGGGAGAGCACCUCCCUUACAAGGAGGGGGUCGGCGGUUCGAUCCCGUCAUCACCUACCA